This 289-nucleotide small RNA is filed under the name Devosia soli. RNAcentral describes it as "5' ureB small RNA". It matches the Rfam family "5' ureB small RNA". The record is from Rfam by way of RNAcentral. Lineage: Bacteria; Pseudomonadati; Pseudomonadota; Alphaproteobacteria; Hyphomicrobiales; Devosiaceae.
CUUCUUCGAUCUGCUGGGGGCAGAUGAAGUGGAUAUGGGCGUCCAUGCCGCCGGCGGUGAGAAUCUUGCCUUCGCCGGCAAUGGCUUCAGUCGAGGGGCCGAUGAUGAUGUCGACGGCCGAUUGUGUGUCGGGAUUGCCGGCCUUGCCGAUUCCGACGAUGCGCCCGUUCUUAAGGCCGAUAUCGGCCUUGAAGAUGCCGGUAUAGUCAACGACGAGCGCAUUGGUAAUCACGGUGUCGACGGCGCCUUCGGCGCGGGUGCGCUGGGAUUGUCCCAUGCCGUCGCGGAU